Molecule: ribosomal RNA, 305 nt
Filed under: uncultured bacterium
Lineage: Bacteria
Description: bacterial SSU rRNA
Rfam family: Bacterial small subunit ribosomal RNA
Source: RNAcentral
GCCUACGGGGGGCAGCAGUAGGGAAUCUUCCACAAUGGGCGGAAGCCUGAUGGAGCAACGCCGCGUGGGUGAAGAAGGUCUUCGGAUCGUAAAACCCUGUUGUUAGAGAAGAAAGUGCGUGAGAGUAACUGUUCACGUUUCGACGGUAUCUAACCAGAAAGCCACGGCUAACUACGUGCCAGCAGCCGCGGUAAUACGUAGGUGGCAAGCGUUAUCCGGAUUUAUUGGGCGUAAAGGGAACGCAGGCGGUCUUUUAAGUCUGAUGUGAAAGCCUUCGGCUUAACCGGAGUAGUGCAUUGGAAACU